RNAcentral lists this transfer RNA (91 nucleotides) under Prevotella melaninogenica. RNAcentral's name for it is "tRNA-Ser". It matches the Rfam family "tRNA". From Rfam's summary of the family: Transfer RNA (tRNA) molecules are approximately 80 nucleotides in length. Their secondary structure includes four short double-helical elements and three loops (D, anti-codon, and T loops). Further hydrogen bonds mediate the characteristic L-shaped molecular structure. tRNAs have two regions of fundamental functional importance: the anti-codon, which is responsible for specific mRNA codon recognition, and the 3' end, to which the tRNAs corresponding amino acid is attached (by aminoacyl-tRNA synthetases). tRNAs cope with the degeneracy of the genetic code in two manners: having more than one tRNA (with a specific anti-codon) for a particular amino acid; and 'wobble' base-pairing, i.e. permitting non-standard base-pairing at the 3rd anti-codon position. Lineage: Bacteria; Pseudomonadati; Bacteroidota; Bacteroidia; Bacteroidales; Prevotellaceae. RNAcentral also lists the same sequence under 8 other names. The record is from RNAcentral.
GGAAAGAUGCUCGAGUGGUUGAAGAGGCACGCCUGGAAAGCGUGUAUACCCCUAAAGGGUAUCGGGGGUUCGAAUCCCCCUCUUUCCGCAA